Molecule: ribosomal RNA, 501 nt
Filed under: uncultured bacterium
Lineage: Bacteria
Description: bacterial SSU rRNA
Rfam family: Bacterial small subunit ribosomal RNA
Source: RNAcentral
UGAACGCUGGCGGCGUGCUUAACACAUGCAAGUCGCACGAGAACGCUUCAGCUUGCUGAAGUUAGUAAAGUGGCGCACGGGUGAGUAACGCGUGGGUAAUCUACCCCCGAAUUGGGGAUAACAUCGCGAAAGCGAUGCUAAUACCGAAUGAUAUCUUGAAAACUCUGUUUUCUGGAUCAAAGAUGGCCUCUACAUGUAAGCUAUUGUUUGGGGAUGAGCCCGCGUACCAUUAGCUUGUUGGUAGGGUAAUGGCCUACCAAGGCAACGAUGGUUAGCUGGUCUGAGAGGAUGAUCAGCCACACUGGAACUGACACACGGUCCAGACUCCUACGGGAGGCAGCAGUGAGGAAUUUUGCGCAAUGGGGGAAACCCUGACGCAGCAACGCCGCGUGAGUGAUGAAGGCUUUCGGGUCGUAAAGCUCUGUCAAGUGGGAAGAAACCAUAUGGUGUUAAUAUCGCCAUAUGCUGACGGUACCAUUGAAGGAAGCACCGGCUAACUCC